AACGCGAAGAACCUUACCCAGGCUUGAACAGCGAGUGACAAACUACGAAAGUGGUCUUCCGCAAGGACACUCGUAGAGGUGCUGCAUGGCUGUCGUCAGCUCGUGUCGUGAGAUGUUGGGUUAAGUCCCGCAACGAGCGCAACCCUUGUUUGCUGUUGCCAUCAGGUUAUGCUGGGCACUCUGCAAAGACUGCCGGUGAUAAACCGGAGGAAGGUGGGGAUGACGUCAAGUCAGCAUGGCCUUUAUGUUUGGGGCUACACACGUGCUACAAUGGCCGAUACAAACCGUCGCGAGCCCGCAAGGGGGAGCUAAUCGGAGAAAGUCGGUCUCAGUUCGGAUUGUAGGCUGCAACUCGCCUGCAUGAAGUUGGAAUCGCUAGUAAUCGCGGAUCAGCACGCCGCGGUGAAUACGUUCCCGGGCCUUGUACACACCGACGCAC
RNAcentral lists this ribosomal RNA (439 nucleotides) under uncultured bacterium. RNAcentral's name for it is "bacterial SSU rRNA". It matches the Rfam family "Bacterial small subunit ribosomal RNA", at positions 958 to 1398 of the family's 1533-position model. The record is from RNAcentral.